RNAcentral lists this ribosomal RNA (207 nucleotides) under uncultured bacterium. RNAcentral's name for it is "partial 16S ribosomal RNA". It matches the Rfam family "Bacterial small subunit ribosomal RNA", at positions 568 to 774 of the family's 1533-position model. The record is from RNAcentral.
UGCGUAGGCGGUUUAUUAAGUCAGAUGUGAAAGCCCCGGGCUCAACCUGGGAACUGCAUUUGAUACUGGUAAACUAGAGUUUGGUAGAGGGUAGUGGAAUUCCAGGUGUAGCGGUGAAAUGCGUAGAGGUCUGGAGGAACACCAGUGGCGAAGGCGGCUACCUGGACCAAAACUGACGCUGAGGUACGAAAGCGUGGGGAGCAAACA